AGCAGGGACAACUCCCUUCCUUAUGUUUUUGUUAGAGAGGGGUGGGGCCUUGAUUGGCUGAGGUGACGUGAGCAAAACGCUCAGUGAGUGCCUGGAGCUUUUAGGAUGCUGGGUUACCGCGGAUUUUUGAAAAUCAACAUGACACGAUGGACCUUACGUUGCAAAAAAGUGGAGGAGUCUUAACCUGCAAUAAGGUGGGUCCUGCUACGCUGGCCUGCACUUUUUACAGUAGAUCAGGUGUUCUUGUAAUUCAGCAGUGGGAAAGAACCUCAAGCGGGAAUUUGGUAACACUUUAUAAUAACUACACACUAUAAAUCAUUUAUUAAGCAUUAGCAAAUAGUGAAUUCUUUAUUUGUCAAGCAUUAACUCUACGUUGAUAAACGUUAGU
Long non-coding RNA from Danio aesculapii, 388 nucleotides. RefSeq lists it as uncharacterized. The transcript is spliced from 3 exons. Lineage: Eukaryota; Metazoa; Chordata; Actinopteri; Cypriniformes; Danionidae. The record is from RefSeq and is a predicted model, not a curated record.